Molecule: ribosomal RNA, 253 nt
Filed under: uncultured bacterium
Lineage: Bacteria
Description: partial 16S ribosomal RNA
Rfam family: Bacterial small subunit ribosomal RNA
Source: RNAcentral
UACGGGGGGAGCAAGCGUUGUUCGGAUUUACUGGGCGUAAAGGGCGCGUAGGCGGCGCAACAAGUCACUUGUGAAAUCUCCGGGCUUAACCCGGAGCGGCCAAGUGAUACUGACGUGCUAGAGUGCGGAAGGGGCUACUGGAAUUCUCGGUGUAGCGGUGAAAUGCGUAGAUAUCGAGAGGAACACCUGCGGCGAAGGCGGGUAGCUGGGCCGACACUGACGCUGAGGCGCGAAAGCCAGGGGAGCGAACGGG